This 469-nucleotide ribosomal RNA is filed under the name uncultured bacterium. RNAcentral's name for it is "partial 16S ribosomal RNA". It matches the Rfam family "Bacterial small subunit ribosomal RNA", at positions 28 to 507 of the family's 1533-position model. The record is from RNAcentral.
GACGAACGCUGGCGGCGUGCUUAACACAUGCAAGUCGAACGGAAAGGCCCUGCUUGCAGGGUGCUCGAGUGGCGAACGGGUGAGUAACACGUGGGUGAUCUGCACCUUACUUUGGGAUAAGCCUGGGAAACUGGGUCUAAUACUGGAUAGGACCAUGCUGUAGGUGGUGUGGUGGAAAGAUUAGUUUCGGUAAGGGAUGAGCUCGCGGCCUAUCAGCUUGUUGGAGGGGUAAUGGCCUACCAAGGCGUCGACGGGUAGCCGGCCUGAGAGGGUGGACGGCCACAUUGGGACUGAGAUACGACCCAGACUCCUACGGGAGGCAGCAGUGGGGAAUAGUGCACAAUGGGCGCAAGCCUGAUGCAGCGACGCCGCGUGGGGGAUGACGGCCUUCGGGUUGUAAACUCCUUUCAGCCAUGACGAAGCCCUUGUGGUGACGGUAGUGGCAGAAGAAGCACCGGCUAACUACGUG